GCCAGGCGGAGACACGCAGGCCGGCGUAUGUCGGUGCCACUGAAGGAGGGCCAGUGAGGGUCCUCUGCUGGCUAACGCAGGCUCCAUCAGGUCCGCAUCCUCCUCUGGCAGGACUGGGCGGUGGAAGACGCAGAGGCUCUGGGAGCCAGCUAGAGACCCAAGAUGCACCAGUCCUUGGGACAGCAUGUGACACACAGUGAGUGCAUAGCCAUAAAGUGGGAAGCUGUGAGAGCCCAGGAGACACUCAGAUGCCAGCAAGGCCCAGCACGGAGCCUGGCCCAAGGGAUAGAACACCGUGUGGCAGCCAGGACAGUGACUGAGGGACGAUCAAUGUCACACGCCCAGCUGGGGACCCCAGGGCCCUGGCAUGGGCUCCUACAGCCUCAGAGGCAAGUGGUGGACAGGUGGCCAUUGUCCACUAGCACCCUUGGCCCUUUAUGAAUGGUCCACGGCUGCUUCUGAAGGCCCGAGUGAGCCGUCAAGCAGGGACCCCAGGCCACGGUGCCAGAGCUGCA
Marmota monax (woodchuck) is the source of this 515-nucleotide long non-coding RNA. RefSeq lists it as uncharacterized. The record is from RefSeq and is a predicted model, not a curated record. The transcript is spliced from 4 exons. NCBI's taxonomy places the organism in Eukaryota, Metazoa, Chordata, Mammalia, Rodentia, Sciuridae.